RNAcentral lists this ribosomal RNA (130 nucleotides) under uncultured bacterium. Its description in RNAcentral is "partial 16S ribosomal RNA". It matches the Rfam family "Bacterial small subunit ribosomal RNA", at positions 378 to 525 of the family's 1533-position model. The record is from RNAcentral.
GCACCCUGACGCAGCGACGCCGCGUGAGCGAAGAAGGCCUUCGGGUUGUAAAGCUCUGUCUGGGGGGAAGAUAGUGACGGUACCCCCGGAGGAAGCCCCGGCUAACUACGUGCCAGCAGCCGCGGUAAUA